UGAGGAAUCUUGCGCAAUGGGGGAAACCCUGACGCAGCCACGCCGCGUGGAGGAAGACACCCCUAUGGGGCGUAAACUCCUUUUCUGCGGGAAGAACCCCGGGGUAUGCCCCGGCUGACGGUACCGCAGGAACAAGGGCCGGCUAACUCCGUGCCAGCAGCCGCGGUAAUACGGAGGGCCCAAGCGUUGUCCGGAAUUAUUGGGUGUAAAGGGUCCGCAGGCGGGACAGUAAGUCGGAGGUGAAAGCCCUCGGCUCAACCGAGGAAUUGCCUUCGAUACUGCUGUUCUUGAGUCCCGGAGAGGCCACCGGAAUUCGUGGUGUAGCGGUGAAAUGCGUAGAUAUCACGAGGAACACCAGAAGUGAAAACGGGUGGCUGGACGGGUACUGACGCUCAGGGACGAAAGCGUGGGGAGCAAACA
RNAcentral lists this ribosomal RNA (420 nucleotides) under uncultured bacterium. RNAcentral describes it as "bacterial SSU rRNA". It matches the Rfam family "Bacterial small subunit ribosomal RNA", at positions 355 to 774 of the family's 1533-position model. The record is from RNAcentral.